UGCAAUUGUCUUUUGGGUUGUC
This 22-nucleotide non-coding RNA is filed under the name Arabidopsis thaliana (thale cress). Lineage: Eukaryota; Viridiplantae; Streptophyta; Magnoliopsida; Brassicales; Brassicaceae. The record is from RNAcentral.